UUGAAUAAAAACUUUGGAGAUAAAAAAUAGAGAUUGUGACUUCUUGGCCUUUUGACUAAGAUCAAGUGUAAAGGAUAGAGAUUAAAUAUCUUUUGGCAGUUGAGGCUUUCCACAAUCUAAAUUUACCUUGUCUUCUGUUUCCUUGUGACAUUACCACCUCACCUUAUUCCCCACUGUGUUUCUGCCUGAACCAAGACCAACUGGACCUGUCUGCUCACUAACAAACAUGUUAUUUACUUUCCCUCCUUCUAUUUCUCAACCCUGCAAAUUCUUACUACUCCUCCUUGUUAAUCAAAUCCUAGCAACUUUUUUGAGACUUGGGAUGUUCUACGUUUUGCCGAAAGCCUUCCCCCACCUAAUCUAACUUAUGCUAAUUUUCUCCUUUCUCAGAGCCUCUCCUAGCAUUUAUGACCUCUGGUAUGUAUUUUGACAUGUUUCCUUACUAUUAAACGUUAUUACUGAUCUUAUCAUGGGUGUAUGUCUGGACAAAAAUAAGACCAUUUUACAUUUAUUUUGCAUCCUCUACAGCACCUGGUAGACACUGUGUGUAUGUUAAGCACAUAAUCAGCACCCGUGGACUGAAUUUGCCCACUUGUUUCCUAGUGCCUUUCAAAGACAACCUGGUUUUGCCUUUUCUUUUCCAUUCAGGAGCUAAUUCUAUCCUCACGUGUCUGUCCUACCAAUACAGCCCUCUCUCCCUAAUAGAGGGUCCAGGGCCCCCAUUUAUCCUGUUCUCUUUGCAGCACUUUGUAGCAGAUCAGCUGUGUUUCCACAUUUGUUCUUUGUUUUCUUACAGUGGGCUACUUAAAUAGUCCAUAACUUCUGCUCCAUACAGGCACGGGCUGCAGAACAAGAGGCCUGUUGGAAUUGCCAUAACCAAAGAGAUUGUGUAUAUUGUGGGGGCUGGGGAGUGGGUAGAAACUCACAGAAAGCAGUAUGGUGAAGGGUUUUGGUGUCUGGUAUACACGCAGGCUCUGGGACAGUUUUGGAGAUAGGUCUGGAAAUUGGGUAUAUGUGACGGAGAUGUAUGGCCAAAGGCAAUUUCAUAAACAACUAUAAAGUCAACAAACCCACAAAUUUGCUUUUAGAGCUAAAGUUAAUAUUAUGCAGUUCAGUCUCUCUUUUUUACACACAAGAAAACUAAGGUCCAAAGAGGUACUUGCAAAUAGUAGAUAAUAAAUAUUAGCUGAUUGCAAAUAAUCUAAUCAAGUCAGUCUUUAGACAGAUUCAUUCUUUAUGGUAUUUAAUGUCAGAACGAACUAGUCUUGGUUUUAGUCAGCAAUUCAAGACUAAAUCAUACUUGUCAGCAUGAUAACUAAACAGGACCCAUCAAGGGAAUCUGGCUUUGCUGACACCUUGAUUUCAGACCAGUGAACCUGACUUAGGACAUCUGACCUCCAGAACUAUAAGAAAAUAAAUGUGUGUUGUUUUAAGCCAUCAAGCUUCCUGUAACUUGUUACAGCAGCCCUAGAAAAUAUACAGUGACCUUAGAGAUUCUUCAAGUAAAGGUAAACUUCAGUAAUAUCUUUAUCUCAAUAGCACUGGAAAAUCAGAUAAGCCAUAUUAAUUAUGUUUUUUAAUGUUAUCAGAUGUGGGCCACCAGCCUUAAGCCAGAGGGAGCUUUGUAAGACAGGAACAUAUAAAAUGAUAAAAGCUUCUCUACGUACAGUUUUCCUGACUCUGAUUCUGCGUGGGACAACCAGUGAAAAUUGCAGGUGAAGAGAAGAAAUGCGUAUUUAUUCCUCCACUGGGAAAAAAAAUACCAUCCAAAGCUACAUGACUUGAGAGACAAGGUCUCACUAUGUUGCCCAGGCUGGCCUCGAACUCCCGGGCUUCAGCAGUCCUCCCGCCUCACCCUCCGAUGUAGCUAGGACUACAGGACCGCGACCCGGCGCUGCCUAAGAACUGUUUUUAAACGUGAAAGCCACGGCUAUCAUUUGCUUUUUGCUCUGCUCUUCAUCUUCUGGAUAAACCUCGUAACACACUGCUUGUUUUGGGUGGUAGUCUGCUGCCUACGCCCCGUCAGACAAGUGGCCUGAGUCCCCCGCAACCCCUGCAGGUCCGGCCGCCGGCGCCAAGCCUCAAGGCAUCCAAGCCAGGAACGAUCGCGGUCAGCUCUGCCACGGAACAUGUGCAAGACCCGGCAGCAGGUUCCGGGGGAGGCGAAUUGAUUUCACAACGGUCGAGAAGGAGGACCCCGCCCACUUCGUCAUUUCUCGGAAGCCCAGGGACUCGCCGGAAGAGCGGCUCAAAAGCCGGAAAACUGGCAAAUCCGAGUCUCCCGGCGCAUGCGCGGCGCAAUCGGCUUCGCGUGGUUGCAGUAGAGAGGAUCCCUCCGCCAGCCACUGCAUCCGGCGGCCGGAUCUAACUUACCCGCUAGCGUUUUACCCUUGCGCGGCCGUGGCGUAGGGCGGUCUUUUCCCUUGGUCCUCCGCGGCGCCGCCUCUUGUGACGUAAGCCGCAGAAUCCUCUGUCUUAGUUCGGCUCUAUUGCCGCGAGCUUGACUCUUCCUGGGUCUGAGGAAAAGUAAAAGUAAUUUUGUCAUUUCCUGAAACUUCAAGUUAAACCUUUAAGCUGUUCAUUUCCUAAAAGGGUGAAAACGCGGGCACCCCUCGAGCUAGUUCAUCGCCUUUUAACCUGUUGUUGGAUCUUUCCAGAUCACCACACCACAUCACCCAGCCACUCUGCCCAAUGGGAGGGCAGACAGUGUUCCAGUGUAGGAGGAAGGGGUGUAAGGUGCGGGCAGUUUGUGAGGAGGGCACCAACGAGAGCUACUGUGAGAAAGUCUGCAUGGUCAAAAAGUGGAUUACCAAGAACAAAGCAUCAUAAUGUUGUCCAGUGGACCCCAGUGGUGGAAGGUACCUGAAAGCCAGAGCUAAAAGAGCCUAUUGAAACAAUCACUACAUGGCAGCCUGUGGGACAUGGAGCUGGGCAGGAGAGAUGGAAAACAGAAGCGAUCAGGCACUGAUUAUAUGUCAAAUUCAACAAAGUUCAGAUAUACGAGGGAACUUCAAAAGUUCAUGAAAAAAAUGGAAUUAGAAGAUAAAAAUAAAAAGUGGAAACUGUAUUUCUCAACAUAAACUCCAUCAAGUUCAAGACACUUUGGUAAGUGGUAAUAUCAGCCAUUUAGUCCAUUAUUAAAGAGCUAAGGGUCCUGGGAAUUUAACCAUGUUGAUGCAGUCGUUUUAACAUUAUUAACUGAAACAAAAUAAGUGCCCUUUGCAGAUUUUUUAAGAUUAGGAAACAAAAAGUCAGAAGGAGCCAAAUCAGGACUGUAAGGUGGAUGCCUAAUAAUUUUCCAUGGAAACUCUUGCAAAAUCGCCCUUGUUUGAAGAGAAGAACCAGCAGGAGCAUUGUCUUAGUGGACAAGGACUCUCUAGUAAAGUUUUCCUGGGUGUUUGUCUCUUUUCUUCUUCCUUCCUUCCUUCCUUCCUUCCU
RNAcentral lists this long non-coding RNA (3438 nucleotides) under Homo sapiens (human). Its description in RNAcentral is "HSALNT0315630". The record is from RNAcentral. Lineage: Eukaryota; Metazoa; Chordata; Mammalia; Primates; Hominidae.